Molecule: ribosomal RNA, 464 nt
Filed under: Vreelandella stevensii
Lineage: Bacteria; Pseudomonadati; Pseudomonadota; Gammaproteobacteria; Oceanospirillales; Halomonadaceae
Description: partial 16S ribosomal RNA
Rfam family: Bacterial small subunit ribosomal RNA
Source: RNAcentral
CCUAGGGUGGCAGCAGUGGGGAAUAUUGGACAAUGGGCGAAAGCCUGAUCCAGCCAUGCCGCGUGUGUGAAGAAGGCCUUCGGGUUGUAAAGCACUUUCAGUGGGGAAGAAAGCCUUGGGGCUAAUACCCUCGAGGAAGGACAUCACCCACAGAAGAAGCACCGGCUAACUCCGUGCCAGCAGCCGCGGUAAUACGGAGGGUGCGAGCGUUAAUCGGAAUUACUGGGCGUAAAGCGCGCGUAGGCGGUCUGAUAAGCCGGUUGUGAAAGCCCCGGGCUCAACCUGGGAACGGCAUCCGGAACGGUCAGGCUAGAGUGCAGGAGAGGAAGGUAGAAUUCCCGGUGUAGCGGUGAAAUGCGUAGAGAUCGGGAGGAAUACCAGUGGCGAAGGCGGCCUUCUGGACUGACACUGACGCUGAGGUGCGAAAGCGUGGGUAGCAAACAGGAUUAGAUACCCUAGUAGUC